AGAGCAUUAAUUACUAAAUGUGUGUGUGUGUGUGUGUAUGAAUGUGAGUUUUCAGUGAUUAAGUGAUUAUGUGUGUAUGUGAUAUUGUGUCUGUGAUUGUAUGUGUGUGGGUUUGUGAUUGUGUUUAUGUCUGUGAUUAUGUGUAUGUAUGUCUGAGAUUGUUUGUAUAGGUCUGUGAUUGUAUGUGUGCGUGUGUGGGUCUGUGAUUAUGUGUGUUUGUGUGUAUGUCUGUGUAUAACUGUGAUUGUGUGUAUGCAUGUGAUUGUGUUUGUGAUUUUGUGUGUUUGUGAUUGUAUGUGUGGGUCUGUGAUUGUGUCUGUGUAUGUAUGUGACUGUGUGUGUGUGUAUGUGUGUGUAUAUCUGUGAUUGAGAGUAUGUCUGUGUGUGUGUGUGUAUAUCUGUGAUUUUGUGUGUAUGGGUAUAUCUUUGGUUAUGUGUUUAUGUAUAUACAUGUGUAUGUGUUUAAUAG
Non-coding RNA from Pelobates cultripes (western spadefoot toad), 469 nucleotides. The record is from the annotation of a GenBank genome assembly. Lineage: Eukaryota; Metazoa; Chordata; Amphibia; Anura; Pelobatidae.